RNAcentral lists this ribosomal RNA (360 nucleotides) under uncultured bacterium. Its description in RNAcentral is "bacterial SSU rRNA". It matches the Rfam family "Bacterial small subunit ribosomal RNA", at positions 29 to 417 of the family's 1533-position model. The record is from RNAcentral.
AACGAACGCUGGCGGCAGGCCUAACACAUGCAAGUCGAGCGAGACCUUCGGGUCUAGCGGCGGACGGGUUAGUAACGCGUGGGAACGUGCCCUUCUCUACGGAAUAGCCAUUGGAAACGAUGAGUAAUACCGUAUACGCCCUUCGGGGGAAAGAUUUAUCGGAGAAGGAUCGGCCCGCGUUAGAUUAGAUAGUUGGUGGGGUAACGGCCUACCAAGUCUACGAUCUAUAGCUGGUUUUAGAGGAUGAUCAGCAACACUGGGACUGAGACACGGCCCAGACUCCUACGGGAGGCAGCAGUGGGGAAUCUUAGACAAUGGGCGCAAGCCUGAUCUAGCCAUGCCGCGUGAUGAUGAAGCCUA